UACGUAGGGGGCGAGCGUUGUCCGGAUUUACUGGGCGUAAAGAGCGCGUAGGCGGAAAUUUAAGCGUGGCCUGAAAGCCCCCGGCUCAACCGGGGAGUGCGGCUGCGAACUGGGUUUCUUGAGGACGAUAGAGGAGAGUGGAAUUCCUGGUGUAGCGGUGAAAUGCGUAGAUAUCAGGAGGAACACCCGAGGCGAAGGCGGCUCUCUGGGCCGGUACUGACGCUGAGGAGCGAAAGCGUGGGUAGCAAACAGG
RNAcentral lists this ribosomal RNA (253 nucleotides) under uncultured bacterium. RNAcentral describes it as "partial 16S ribosomal RNA". It matches the Rfam family "Bacterial small subunit ribosomal RNA", at positions 524 to 776 of the family's 1533-position model. The record is from RNAcentral.